UGCCUCUGUGGUGGGGAUUUUUAUUAAAGCUCUUGCUGAGGUGGAUUUAUAAUACUUUGUUCCGCGGAAAUCCUAAAUUGAGGGAAUGGGAGGCGGCGCAUCAACAGGAAGCGGCGCUCAAAUGGGAAACUGCAAGGACUCCCAAGACUGAGCUCUUUGCCCAGCAGGAUUAAAAUUGAGGCUGUCAAAGUCAUUUCACAGCUGUUAAAGGGAACUUCCAAUCCAUCAGCCUGGACUUGGUUCAAAGAAAGAUCCCAGAGGAAAAGGACAUUGAUGAUAAUUUGAUGUCUGAACAUGGAUGUCAGCACUCAGGAUAUACUGGAUGAAAUCAAGGUUUCUCAGGAGCAAGGUGACAGUGACAACCUGUUUUACUUGUAUGUGGCCACUCCCGGUGGAGCACCAAAAGACAUUCAUAAAAAAAUAAUAAAGCCUUUUCUGCAGGACCGUGGAUGGCAGAAGGUCAGCUACCCUAACACUGGAUUCAGGGCUUUGUACUUUUGCCGCAAGUCCGGGGGACAGGAGAGAGCUGACGCGGUGAGAGAUCGAUCAGAGCUGAAAGGCAAAUUGGAUGAAUAUAAGGAAAUUAAUCUUGUUGACUUCAAGGUGCACAUGGUGUUGUCUGUGCCAGUAAAUUACAAUGAAGAUUUUGUCGAACUGACCUCCCAACCUGGGUCAAUUGAAUGGUGAAAACAUAGGACCACUGACAGCUCAGAUUGUCUGUUUGCAAUGGAUCCUGAGAAAGAAUUAAAGCUUUAUCUGUUUCUGGCAACUCUUUGCACAGCGAAUGCUGCAGCAUUAAUUACUUUCACGAAUUGCUGCUGAAAAAAUGAGAAAAUAUAUAUGUACAAUACAUAACUUUUAGAUAUUUUUUAAAGUAGCUUCAGUGUAUCCAAUAUAAGGCAUGACUGCUUAUUUUAAUGAAAUGCAUAUUAGUAAGAAAGGGAAGUGUUGGUAAAUUUGUUUGAUUAUUUGUGGGAGCCCUUCGAAAAAUUCAGAGUUGGAAAUAUGUGAAAGAAUUAGACUUUGUUAACUGCUACAAGCACCAGAAUCAAAUGCUUAUCUAUAAUUAAAUGUUGAACUAUCUUCCAAAAUGGCCAAUAAUUAAUGAUAAUGCUUUAUAUUUGAACUUAAGGAUAUAAAGUACCAUCCAUAAGCAUGUGGGAAUGUCACUUUAAAUAUUUGCAGUAAGUUUAGGAUUCCUGAGAUAAAAUUGUCUUCCUCUUAACGACUAUGAUAUUGAUCAUCUUCUGUUAAUGAACAGUUAUAGGGAACUCAGUUUAUUCUGUUUGACUCCCUUUCUCUACCCAAGUUCCACCAAGUGUAAGGAUGGAAGAGCCUGGAUUUAUAGGUGAUCCCUCUGAGCAUUGUCCUGACUGAGCUGAUAGCCAGCAUGACCUGCAGACUGAAAUUGAUGGAAAGUUAUCUACCUACCUGGCAGCCUUUUGGAGGGCCGUCAUGUUCCGAGUUUUAUAUGGGGGUAUUUUCUAACUCAUUCGAUAUUCGUACAGUUGCAACCAUAAGGGGUGCGCAUUACAUUAAAUAUGAUAACCUGAUAAAAUCAAUUUAAAUUAUCCUGAACAAAUAUUAUUUUAAACACAUAGGACAAUAAAUGAACAAACUCUUGAAAUAUGAUUCCUUUUAAGGAAUGUGUUCUUAAACUGAUGGGAUUUUCUGAAUGUCACUGUUAUAUUCUUCAUGUGCAAUCCAAUCUUCUAAUUUGGUCAAACUGGAUUCUGAUAAAAAUGGUAUAUAUCAAAAUGGUUUAAAUAUAACUUGCUAUUGCUUAAAAGAAAUAAAAUUUAGAUAUUUAAAUGAUUUAUGUGUCUGCCUUCCAUAUUUUGUAAUACUGCUGGAGCUUAAAUUGUUUCCUCCCUGUAACGGUAGUCAUGGCCAAGUGGUUAAAGCGGUGGACUAGAAAACGAUUGGGGGUUUCCCUACACAAGUUCAUGUCCUGCUGAUGACAGAAGCAGCAGGUUCACCACAGUAACUAUUGAGUGUCCCCAACAUGUAUACAGUUAACAUUAAACCUCUUUGGGGUGGCAUGGUAGUGUAACAGUUAGCAUAAUACUGUUGCCGUGCCUGCGAUCUGAGUUCAAUUCCUGUCACUGUCUGUCAGGAGUUUCUACGUUCUCCCCGUGGCCACGCGAGUUUCCUCCGGGUGCUCCAGUUUCCUCCUACAUUCCAAAGAUGUGUGGGUUAGUAAAUUAAUUGGUCACAUGCUUGUAAUCAGGCAGCACGAGUUUGUGAGUCGCAAGGGCCUAUUUACCAUGCUGUA
Long non-coding RNA from Mobula hypostoma (lesser devil ray), 2275 nucleotides. RefSeq lists it as uncharacterized. Lineage: Eukaryota; Metazoa; Chordata; Chondrichthyes; Myliobatiformes; Myliobatidae. The record is from RefSeq and is a predicted model, not a curated record. The transcript is spliced from 4 exons.